RNAcentral lists this microRNA precursor (124 nucleotides) under Gossypium hirsutum (cotton). Its description in RNAcentral is "MIR7504 microRNA precursor family". It matches the Rfam family "MIR7504 microRNA precursor family". Lineage: Eukaryota; Viridiplantae; Streptophyta; Magnoliopsida; Malvales; Malvaceae. The record is from Rfam by way of RNAcentral.
AAUAGGAUAACCAAAAAUCAGAUUUUUCCUCCUGAUUUUCAAUUUUUUUUCUCUUGAAAAAAUUCAAAUCCAACUGAAAAUGCUAAAAAUCGAAAGGAAAAAUCUGAUUUGUCAAUCUCCUAUU